AGUGAACGCUGGCGGUAGGCCUAACACAUGCAAGUCGAACGGCAGCACAGUAAGAGCUUGCUCUUACGGGUGGCGAGUGGCGGACGGGUGAGGAAUACAUCGGAAUCUACUUUUUCGUGGGGGAUAACGUAGGGAAACUUACGCUAAUACCGCAUACGACCUACGGGUGAAAGCAGGGGAUCUUCGGACCUUGCGCGAUUGAAUGAGCCGAUGUCGGAUUAGCUAGUUGGCGGGGUAAAGGCCCAACAAGGCGACGAUCCGUAGCUGGUCUGAGAGGAUGAUCAGCCACACUGGAACUGAGACACGGUCCAGACUCCUACGGGAGGAAGCAGUGGGGAAUAUUGGGCAAUGGGCGAAAGCCUGAUCCAGCAAUACCGCGUGAGUGAAGAAGGCCUUCGGGUUGUAAAGCCCUGUUGUUGGGAAAGAAAAGCAGCAGGUUAAUACGCGGCUGUUCUGACGGUACCCAAAGAAUAAGCACCGGCUAACUUCGUG
Molecule: ribosomal RNA, 492 nt
Filed under: uncultured bacterium
Lineage: Bacteria
Description: partial 16S ribosomal RNA
Rfam family: Bacterial small subunit ribosomal RNA
Source: RNAcentral